This 253-nucleotide ribosomal RNA is filed under the name uncultured bacterium. Its description in RNAcentral is "partial 16S ribosomal RNA". It matches the Rfam family "Bacterial small subunit ribosomal RNA", at positions 524 to 776 of the family's 1533-position model. The record is from RNAcentral.
UACGAAGGGGACUAGCGUUGUUCGGAAUCACUGGGCGUAAAGCGCACGUAGGCGGAUAUGUCAGUCCGGGGUGAAAUCCCGGGGCUCAACCUCGGAACUGCCUUUGAUACAGCAUGUCUUGAGUCCGAUAGAGGUGGGUGGAAUUCCUAGUGUAGAGGUGAAAUUCGUAGAUAUUAGGAAGAACACCGGUGGCGAAGGCGGCCCACUGGAUCGGUACUGACGCUGAGGUGCGAAAGCGUGGGGAGCAAACAGG